GACGUAGGGCGCGAGCGUUGUCCGGAUUUAUUGGGCGUAAAGAGCGUGUAGGCGGCCUUUUAAGUCCUGCGUGAAAUCCUGCGGCUCAACCGCAGACGGUCGUGGGAAACUGGAAGGCUAGAGUGCGGGAGAGGAGAGUGGAAUUCCCGGUGUAGCGGUGAAAUGCGCAGAUAUCGGGAAGAACACCCGUGGCGAAGGCGGCUCUCUGGAACGCAACUGACGCUGAGACGCGAAAGCGUGGGGAGCAAACAGG
Molecule: ribosomal RNA, 253 nt
Filed under: uncultured bacterium
Lineage: Bacteria
Description: partial 16S ribosomal RNA
Rfam family: Bacterial small subunit ribosomal RNA
Source: RNAcentral